CCAAGAAGACAAGACCUCUCUUUCAUGUGGCCCUGACUCUCCUCCCUCCUCCCAAGAUGCUUCCCCAGCCAGAGAGUUUUUAUAGAUCUUUAAGUCACCAACUCUGAACAAGGCAGGAGUGUUGCUAUCUGCUCUCACUGCACUGCAUGGCACUUGACAACACAGUUUUGUCCUUUUAAGGUUUUUCUGCUGCCCUCAGAGCUUCAGUCACUUCCUUCUGCGGUUGGCACAUCUGUGCCUUCAAGGAUGGCUCUUUUCUGUGCAGUGUGGCUUCACUGAGCAGAAGGAAGAGAUGGCUGGCUACUGCAAGCAGAAAGAGAAAUGAGCUCCCUUAUAUGCAAGAAUAAUGAGGAAUGUCUCACCUACAGGAAGAGAGUUCCUGUCAGUUAAAAGGAAGAAAAGUACCAGGAGGCAUUGUCAACUCUUUCCUAAAUAAAUACAUUA
This is a long non-coding RNA of Talpa occidentalis (Iberian mole), 444 nucleotides long. RefSeq lists it as uncharacterized. The record is from RefSeq and is a predicted model, not a curated record. The transcript is spliced from 3 exons. Lineage: Eukaryota; Metazoa; Chordata; Mammalia; Eulipotyphla; Talpidae.